RNAcentral lists this unclassified non-coding RNA (208 nucleotides) under fungal sp. Its description in RNAcentral is "partial internal transcribed spacer region". The stretch from base 1 to 46 matches the Rfam family "Eukaryotic small subunit ribosomal RNA", at positions 1786 to 1831 of the family's 1831-position model. The record is from RNAcentral. Lineage: Eukaryota; Fungi.
AAGUCGUAACAAGGUUUCCGUAGGUGAACCUGCGGAAGGAUCAUUAACACGUAUCCAAACGUUAAAACAACCCUGUGAACCUUCAGCGUGUUCUUGUGCUAGUUAAAAGAGCAAUCUCGGGUAACUUAGCUGCCAAAGAAUUACAGAUAUUAACCUCCGAGACUUCUCUAAGUACGCUGGACGCACAAUUAUGGAUAUCUUGGUUCUC